AUGUCUUCCUCCUCUGCCUCCUUCCAAUCGACCCUCGGCGGUGGAGCCCCGGAGAAGCUAACCUGCGGCAACUAUGUUUUGUGGCGGACUCAGAUCACGCCACAGCUGUGGGGUGCCGGCCUCUUCCACUACGUGGAUGGCACAGCAACUGAGCCGGCCGAAGCCCUCACCACCAAGGACGCCGCCGGCAAGGAGACCACUGAGUCGAAUCCCCUUCAUCCGCUCUGGGUGAGGGAGGAUCAGCAGGUCCUCGGUUAUCUCCUCCAACACCUCUCCAAGGAAGUGCUCAUCACGGUGACCAUGAUC
This 306-nucleotide ribosomal RNA is filed under the name Triticum aestivum (bread wheat). RNAcentral describes it as "partial small subunit ribosomal RNA". Lineage: Eukaryota; Viridiplantae; Streptophyta; Magnoliopsida; Poales; Poaceae. The record is from RNAcentral.